This 694-nucleotide long non-coding RNA is filed under the name Vulpes vulpes (red fox). RNAcentral's name for it is "lncRNA (ENSVVUG00000025288.1)". Lineage: Eukaryota; Metazoa; Chordata; Mammalia; Carnivora; Canidae. The record is from RNAcentral.
CACAACCCCAACACCCUCCACCUGGCUGUGGCCAGUGUCACCAAAUCCGUGGAACCUUCCCUUCGUCAGGGGGCACAGACUGUCUCGGGCUUCACCUGGUAUCCUGCAGCAUGUGAAAUGUAGCCCUCACUCAUCAAGCAGGGCCCAGAGGCCAACACUGGGACCACUGGACCAGAAGUCAGAAGUGUGGAUACCGACCCCCCAACUAGGCCAUCUGUUGGCAAUCGAUGUCCGAGUCCAGUUUCACAACUGUAAAAUGAAGGCUAGUCUUCUGUUACAUGCCAGGCACAAAAGGUUUUUGGAAAGAAUAAAUUAAGUAAUGGAGCUAAAUGACCUGUAUUGUAUAAGCGAUCAUUAUUAUAGUCAUUAUAAUGAAGUCCAGUAAGUCUCUGUUAGGAGUGUCCGCGAUAGGUUUUGGAAAAUACUCUGUAACUGUACCGCCCACACCCCCAUGGCCUUGCUAGUCAGUGGNUAGGAGUGUCCGCGAUAGGUUUUGGAAAAUACUCUGUAACUGUACCGCCCACACUCCCAUGGCCUUGCUAGUCACAAGCAAAGCAGAAGUGUAGCAUAUAAAUUUGAUUUCUCAGGGCAUCCGAAGUGUAGGUGAGGAUCAUUUUGUUGUAACAAGGUUUACACCAAAAAAAAAAAAUCAAUUUUACAACUAAAUAAAAACACUUUUGGGAAUAAGAGGGCA